Molecule: ribosomal RNA, 233 nt
Filed under: uncultured bacterium
Lineage: Bacteria
Description: partial 16S ribosomal RNA
Rfam family: Bacterial small subunit ribosomal RNA
Source: RNAcentral
GAUCCUGCGUCAGGAUGAACGCUAGCUACAGGCUUAACACAUGCAAGUCGAGGGGCGAGCAUGGUCUUAGCUUGCUAAGGCUGAUGGCGACCGGCGCACGGGUGAGUAACACGUAUCCAACCUGCCGUCUACUCUUGGGCCAGCCUUCUGAAAGGAAGAUUAAUCCAGGAUGGGAUCAUGAGUUCGACAUGUCCGNAUGAUUAAAGGUAGUUUUCCGGUCGACGAUGGGGAUG